UUUAAGCUUCCUACGGGAGGCUGCAGUGGGGAAUCUUAGACAAUGGGGGAAACCCUGAUCUAGCCAUGCCGCGUGAUCGAUGAAGGCCUUAGGGUUGUAAAGAUCUUUCAGGUGGGAAGAUAAUGACUGUACCACCAGAAGAAGCCCCGGCUAACUCCGUGCCAGCAGCCGCGGUAAUACGGAGGGGGCUAGCGUUGUUCGGAAUUACUGGGCGUAAAGCGCACGUAGGCGGAUCAGAAAGUCAGAGGUGAAAUCCCAGGGCUCAACCUUGGAACUGCCUUUGAAACUCCUGAUCUUGAGGUCGAGAGAGGUGAGUGGAAUUCCGAGUGUAGAGGUGAAAUUCGUAGAUAUUCGGAGGAACACCAGUGGCGAAGGCGGCUCACUGGCUCGAUACUGACGCUGAGGUGCGAAAGCGUGGGGAGCAAACAGGAUUAGAUACCCUUGUAGUCGAAUUCUU
This 457-nucleotide ribosomal RNA is filed under the name uncultured bacterium. Its description in RNAcentral is "bacterial SSU rRNA". It matches the Rfam family "Bacterial small subunit ribosomal RNA", at positions 329 to 803 of the family's 1533-position model. The record is from RNAcentral.